Molecule: long non-coding RNA, 833 nt
Organism: Salvia miltiorrhiza (redroot sage)
Lineage: Eukaryota; Viridiplantae; Streptophyta; Magnoliopsida; Lamiales; Lamiaceae
Exons: 3
Source: RefSeq, a predicted model, not a curated record
UUUUUGUCGACUUUCAAAAUCUUACGUGCACGUCGUCGAAAAAUAUUCUUAGUUUUUCGAUACGAGUCCAAUAAUGAAAGUUUUUAUUUUUGGACGACGAGUGAAUAGUGAACUAGAUUUUCUCGAUAAACGAACCGAGCUCGUUUAUCAGAAUUUCGAGAACGAGCUUGUGUUUUCUAUAUUUAUAUAGAAUUACGAGUGCAAUGAAAGUGAGUAGAGGUUGAGAGGGCGAGUAACGAAGAGUAUGGGUAGUUAAUCGUUAAAACGAGACGAAACGAGAUAUUUAACGACUAACGGGUUAAUAUCCUAAAUAUCUAACCUACCCUACCCCUAACCACCCCCCCAACUGCCCACUAUCCCUCUAUCUCACCUAACUCACGCUGCACACACAACACACACACUAAAACACAUUAGAAACACACACACACUUCACGUUAACACCAUUUCUUUGGUGUUCAAGCUUUUGACCUCCGAUUUGAGCACCGAGACGAGCGCCGAUCAUCUUUUCGAUCACGUAUCUAAGUAGGUCCUUUUGGGAAGUAACGACUUGAGGGAGAGAGUGACGUUACUCAUUGAUACAGAGACACAACGAGGUUGAGCUGAUGUGAUGAUGGUGCUGCAAUGAGCGGAGUCUCCAGGGUUGUUAAUAAAUAGUUAACAUGUCUAGAAUAUGUCUUCAUACAUAUGUCUAGCUACUUUCCGCUGCAAGAUGUUGUUGAUGUUAUAGUAUGUUAUGUCAUACUUUGAGUCUUAAGAGAAUGGUUGCAUAUGAUGUAUAACUUGAUUAAUGAUAUUAAUUAACUUUUAUGCAGUCUUUCAUAGACUGUUUUCAA